Helicoverpa zea (corn earworm) is the source of this 2331-nucleotide RNA transcript. It is a transcript of the gene named ester hydrolase C11orf54 homolog, with no coding region annotated. The record is from RefSeq and is a predicted model, not a curated record. The transcript is spliced from 9 exons. Lineage: Eukaryota; Metazoa; Arthropoda; Insecta; Lepidoptera; Noctuidae.
GGAAGCUCUCAAACAAUGAUAAAGCGCAGCGGCAGAUAGCGCGCAAUCUCAGCGAGCGCCGCCAGUCGACAUCUGCGCGUAACCCGCACCACACGAGGUCACGCGAGGUCACCGCGCAACAACAGAAGCAGUCCAACCUCCACGCUACACAUUACCGUACGUAUUGCUAGUUUACUCUCAGAGGUUAUAAUGCGUUACGUUAGCAUAAUACUAGCGUGCUCACUUGUAGUGGCGGCGAAAGCGGCGACCUUGAACGCGCCGAGCAACAGCAUGGCAUCCGUGGACUACAAAAAGGUUCCGAUUAAGGAAAAACCGUUAUUCCAGCCACCUCUGCAGGAAAUAGUAGACGUGUUGUCUGCGGGACUGACCAGCACCUUCGAGACAGUCAGCGUGUCGGCGGAGGACUCCCCGGACCUGACGCAGUCGCCUUACAACCUCACAUCACCAGGUCUGACAGGGAAUGCCAGGCUAGUGGAGAUCGGCGGUCCUCCGUACCUGCUGCCGCUGGUGCAGCGUGACAAGCUCUACGACCUGGCGGCGCUGGCGCAGCACCUGCACCGGGACCCCGCGCUGCUGGCAGGCGCCGGCGCCGGGCCCUGGCCGCACCUCGGCGUUAAUUGCGAGGGUAUAAUAAACCUGAGCAUCCGCAACGGCACAGUGGAUCAGGGCACGCGGAUAGUGUCGGUGGAGCCUGUGGGCGCGGCGAAGGGUAGCAGCGGGUACCUGCAGCGACAGCUGCCCAACACCGAGACGCGCACCGCGCUGCUCGGCAACUACCUGCUCAGCGAGGGCAAGCCGGGCAAGGUGAUAAAAGUAGUUGCCAAGAAACGGAUCGGUUCAUCCAAUUUCAUCACUGCCAUCAGAGAGACGCUUAAAAACCAUUAUGGCGACAAAGUUGUUGGUCUGGGCGGCAUGUUCCUGCUGCGCGCCGGCAAGGUGAAGUUCCACGUGAUGCCGGACUUCUCCAGCACAGCGUUGUGCACGGACGAAGACGUCGACUCCUGGCUGCAUUUCUUCGAGAUGAGUGCGCCCAUCACCCAUGUCGGCACCCUCGUCACCGGAGACCAUGGGCUGGACCUGCGCGUGCAGCACUUCCACGGGUUCAGCGCGCACGGCGACGGCGGGCACUACCACUACGACACGACGCCGGAGGAGGUGCAGUACGAGGGGUACUUCGCGCUCGCCUCGCACAUCAUCCGCGUGGACGCGCCCGAGCAGACACACGCCGUCGGACGCGACUAGCUCACAUACAUGUACAUAUUAUUGCUCAACUGUAGGACAGAAACGCAACAGAUUGAGAGGAUUGCUGUACUUAUUUAUUCAUGUCCAUCAUUUCACAUAGAAAAAGGUGUGAAACAGGGUGAUCCACUGUCACCAAACCUCUUCACCAGUACGUUGGAGGAAGUUUUUAAAAAGCUCACUGCGCCGUGGACAGAUAAAGGCAUCGUCGUCGGGAGCAAAAGGCUGACCAACCUGCGAUUUGCUGAUGAUAUCAUCCUUUUUGCGUCCACAUGGGAAGAGCUCCAACAGAUGCUCCAAGAUCUGAGCACAGCAAGCCGAGAGGUUGGACUUCAAAUGAACAUGACCAAGACACACACAAUGACCAACAGCACGAAACGUAGGGUAGAGGUAGAUGGGCAAGCUUUACACUAUGUCGACGAGUACAUCUACUGGGGCUAGCUAGUUUCUUUCGAAAACAGGCAGGAGAGGGAAAUCGACCGCCGCAUCGAAAACGCCUGGAAAAGCUACUGGUCCAUGAAGCAGUACAUGAAAGGGGACCUUCCCCUUUCACUCAAGCGAAAAUGCAUCUUCGACAUGUGCAUCUUGCCCGUCCUAACCUACGGUGCACAAACUUGGUCUCUCACGGAGUGUCAGAAGUCCAAACUCAAGGUUUGCCAAAGAGCAAUGGAGCGUAGCAUUCUGGGUAUCAAACGGACAGACCGCAUACGCAACACCGUCAUACGCUCCAAAACCGGAAUUUUCGAUGUGGGCCGAAAAGCAGCUCAAUUAAUAUGGAACUGGGCUGGGCACGUCAGCCGAAUGUAUCCUGACAGAUGGGCCAACAUCGUCACCCAGUGGUUGCCACAGGAUGGUCAUCGCAGGCGGGGUAGGCCCCGAAAGAGAUGGCGGGAUGACCUGGAUGCCUACAACCCUGAUUGGUGGGAGGUCUCAAAAGAUCGAGAGGUGUGGAGGCAAAAUGGGGAGGCCUUUGCCCAGCAGUGGGACAGUACGGGCUAAGAAAAAAAAAAAAAACGGCGGUAUUAUUCAAGAUUGUACAUAUAACAAAAAAGUACCUCAAUAAAUCUGUUGCAAGAAUGGAGAACAAAAUGA